Molecule: ribosomal RNA, 425 nt
Filed under: uncultured bacterium
Lineage: Bacteria
Description: bacterial SSU rRNA
Rfam family: Bacterial small subunit ribosomal RNA
Source: RNAcentral
GCUGGAGCUUGCUCCGGCGGAUUAGUGGCGAACGGGUGAGUAACACGUGAGCAAUCUGCCCUUGACUCUGGGAUAACUGCGGGAAACUGUAGCUAAUACCGGAUACUUUCCUCGCUGGGCAUCCAGCGGGGAAGAAAGAAUUUCGGUCAAGGAUGAGCUCGCGGCCUAUCAGCUAGUUGGUGAGGUAAUGGCUCACCAAGGCGACGACGGGUAGCCGGCCUGAGAGGGUGACCGGCCACACUGGAACUGAGACACGGUCCAGACUCCUACGGGAGGCAGCAGUGGGGAAUAUUGCACAAUGGGCGAAAGCCUGAUGCAGCAACGCCGCGUGAGGGAUGAAGGCCUUCGGGUUGUAAACCUCUUUUAGCAGGGAAGAAGCGAAAGUGACGGUACCUGCAGAAAAAGCACCGGCUAACUACGUGCCA